UACGUAGGGGGCAAGCGUUGUCCGGAAUUAUUGGGCGUAAAGAGCGCGUAGGCGGUCCGAUAAGUCGGCUGUGAAAGUCAGGGGCUCAACCCUUGAAAGCCGGCCGAUACUGUCGGACUAGAGUCCGGAAGAGGCAAGUGGAAUUCCCGGUGUAGCGGUGAAAUGCGCAGAUAUCGGGAGGAACACCAAUGGCGAAGGCAGCUUGCUGGGACGGUACUGACGCUGAGGAGCGAAAGUGUGGGGAGCGAACAGG
This 253-nucleotide ribosomal RNA is filed under the name uncultured bacterium. RNAcentral describes it as "partial 16S ribosomal RNA". It matches the Rfam family "Bacterial small subunit ribosomal RNA", at positions 524 to 776 of the family's 1533-position model. The record is from RNAcentral.